RNAcentral lists this ribosomal RNA (463 nucleotides) under uncultured bacterium. RNAcentral describes it as "SSU rRNA". It matches the Rfam family "Bacterial small subunit ribosomal RNA", at positions 26 to 518 of the family's 1533-position model. The record is from RNAcentral.
AGCCUGAACGCUGGCGGCGUGGCUAAGACAUGCAAGUCGCACGGGGUAGCAAUACCCAGUGGCGAACGGGAGAGUAAUGAAUCGCUAACGUACCCCGGACUCUGGGAUAGCUACCCGAAAGGGUAGGUAAUACCAGAUUACAUAACUUACAGGCAUCUGUGAGUUCUCAAAGGUCCGCCGGUCUGGGAGCGGGCGAUUUCGUAUCAGCUAGUUGGUGAGGUAAUGGCUCACCAAGGCGACGACGCGUAGCCGGACUGAGAGGUUGGCCGGCCUCAUUGGGACUGAGACACUGCCCAGACUCCUACGGGGGGCUGCAGUAACGAAUCUUCCGCAAUGCACGAAAGUGUGACGGAGCGACGCCGCGUGUGGGACGAAGUCCUUCGGGAUGUAAACCACUGUCAGGGGUUACCAAGUUCUGAGGAGCCCCAGAGGAAGGCACGGCUAACUCUGUGCCAGCAGCCGC